ACACAGUGACUUGGCAGCGUUGGAGCUGGGACGAGAACAUGAGCUUGGGUCACCACCUUGCACAGCCACAGGGGAAGGGUGGCUCCUCGAAAGGUCCCCAGAGCUCUCCUUCAAUCCCGGACCACAUGCUUCCUCCUUCCAACUAUCAGCUCCAACUAUUUAGCAGUUGCUGGCUUUGCACAAGGAGAACUGGGAGUAGUCGGCAUAUCGUUGGUUUGCAGAUGGGUCCACCAGCUCAGCAGUUGAAGACAAUGCCCCCUUCAACCUUCAGGUGCACAGGCCCCCACUGAAAUUGGACUCAUAUCAGCUGAACCCGUAGG
This 320-nucleotide long non-coding RNA is filed under the name Homo sapiens (human). RNAcentral's name for it is "HSALNT0317191". The record is from RNAcentral. Lineage: Eukaryota; Metazoa; Chordata; Mammalia; Primates; Hominidae.